GACGAACGCUGGCGGCGUGCCUAAUACAUGCAAGUUGAGCGCUGAAGGUUGGUACUUGUACCAACUGGAUGAGCAGCGAACGGGUGAGUAACGCGUGGGGAAUCUGCCUUUGAGCGGGGGACAACAUUUGGAAACGAAUGCUAAUACCGCAUAAAAACUUUAAACACAAGUUUUAAGUUUGAAAGAUGCAAUUGCAUCACUCAAAGAUGAUCCCGCGUUGUAUUAGCUAGUUGGUGAGGUAAAGGCUCACCAAGGCGAUGAUACAUAGCCGACCUGAGAGGGUGAUCGGCCGCAUUGGGACGGAGACACGGCCCAAACUCCUACGGGAGGCAGCAGUAGGGAAUCUUCGGAAAUGGGCGAAAGUCUGACCGAGCAACGCCGCGUGAGUGAAGAAGGUUUUCGGAUCGUAAAACUCUGUUGGUAGAGAGGAACGUUGGUGAGAGUGGAAAGCUCAUCAAGUGACGGUAACUACCCAGAAAGGGACGGCUAACUACGUG
RNAcentral lists this ribosomal RNA (497 nucleotides) under uncultured bacterium. RNAcentral's name for it is "partial 16S ribosomal RNA". It matches the Rfam family "Bacterial small subunit ribosomal RNA", at positions 28 to 507 of the family's 1533-position model. The record is from RNAcentral.